Molecule: ribosomal RNA, 465 nt
Filed under: uncultured bacterium
Lineage: Bacteria
Description: partial 16S ribosomal RNA
Rfam family: Bacterial small subunit ribosomal RNA
Source: RNAcentral
CUACGGGUUGCAGCAGUGAGGAAUCUUGCGCAAUGGGGGAAACCCCGACGCAGCAACGCCGCGUGGGUGAAGAAGGCCUUCGGGUCGUAAAGCCCUGUCAGGAGGGAAGAAACAGUUAUGCAUGAAUAGUGCAUAACCUUGACGGUACCUCCAGAGGAAGCACCGGCCAACUCCGUGCCAGCAGCCGCGGUAAAACGGAGGGUGCUAGCGUUGUUCGGAAUUACUGGGCGUAAAGAGCGUGUAGGCGGAUAGAUAAGUCGAGUGUGAAAGUCCCCAGCUUAACUGAGGAAGUGCAUUCGAAACUAUCUUUCUUGAGUGCUGGAGAGGGGAGUGGAAUUCCCGGUGUAGGGGUGAAAUCCGUAGAUAUCGGGAGGAAUACCGGUGGCGAAGGCGACUUCCUGGACCGUCACUGACGCUGAGACGCGAAAGCGUGGGGAGCAAACAGGAUUAGAUACCCUCGUAGUC